AGGACUUUUCUCUAGUUUCUAAAGCGGUGGAGUUUCUGUUGAGAGCCUCUAAUUUCAUUGACUCCUUCACUUCCGAAAUUCGGUUACACGCUUUUCCACCAUUUCUAACUCUCUCUCACACUCACACACCAUCAUCAUCAACAACAAUGGAGAUCCGCGAAUCGAUCAGCAACCAAACCGACGUAGCUUUAGGAAUCUCGAAGCACCUACUGUUAACCGAAGGCAAGGACUCGAACCUCGUGUUCUCUCCUCUCUCGAUCCACGUCGUGCUGAGCUUAGUCGCUGCUGGGUCAAAGGGUUCCACGCUCGAUCAAUUCCUCUCUUUCCUCAAAUCCAAGUCCGUCGACCACAUCAACUCCUUCCUUAAGCUAGAUCAAGGAGGUGGAGACUGGGGAGGGAAAAGCAAUAUACAUCGAUGCAGAGGGCACAUUUAGGCCGGCCACAGAGACUAUUACAGAUAGCAGAAAGGUUUGGACUGGAUGGUCCUGAUGUCUUGGAUAAUGUGGCUUAUGCAUGCUAGAGCUUAUAACACUGAUCAUCAGUCAAGACUUGCAGCUUCAAUGAUGGUGGAAACAAGGCAAAGGGCUGUCUUCUUCGGUGGGACUUUGAGACACAGGAGGAAUGGGCAACUUACAAUGAGCACAAAGAAGCAAUGCCAAAAGCUGCAUUUCAGUUUGGUGUGAAGAUGCAAGAUGGUCAAAACACACAGAAACAAAACAGGGACCAGAAGCUCAAUAAUGAGCUGCACCAGAUUAACAAGAUACUUACCAGAAAGAGAUGAAUUUUGGUGAGGGUGCCAACCACUAUGAAGAUGACCUGCAACCUGGAAGGAAAGAAGCUUCGAAUAUGAAAUUUGAUAGUUGUUCUAGUGUUUAAGAGAAGUUUUCUUUUGUAAUCUGAAAUU
Long non-coding RNA from Quercus lobata, 904 nucleotides. RefSeq lists it as uncharacterized. Lineage: Eukaryota; Viridiplantae; Streptophyta; Magnoliopsida; Fagales; Fagaceae. The transcript has 3 exons. The record is from RefSeq and is a predicted model, not a curated record.